CCUACGGGAGGCAGCAGUGGGGAAUCUUGCGCAAUGGGCGAAAGCCUGACGCAGCAACGCCGCGUGCGGGAAGAAGGCUUUCGGGCUGUAAACCGCUUUCAGCAGGAACGAAAAUGACGGUACCUGCAGAAGAAGGAGCGGCCAACUAUGUGCCAGCAGCCGCGGUGAUACAUAGGCUUCAAGCGUUGUCCGGAUUUAUUGGGCGUAAAGAGUUCGUAGGCGGUCAAGUAAGUCGGGUGUGAAAAUUCUGGGCUCAACCCAGAGACGCCACCCGAUACUGCUUAACUUGAGUUCGAUAGGGGAGUGGGGAAUUCCUAGUGUAGCGGUGAAAUGCGCAGAUAUUAGGAGGAACACCGGUGGCGAAGGCGCCACUCUGGAUCGAUACUGACGCUGAGGAACGAAAGCAUGGGUAGCAAACAGGAUUAGAUACCCUGGUAGUCCAUGCCGUAAACGGUGGGCACUAGGUGUGGGUUUCUAUUAACGAAAUCCGCGCCGUCGCUAACGCAUUAAGUGCCCGCCUGGGAGUCGGUCGCAGCUAAACCNCGAAGAUGAACG
This 555-nucleotide ribosomal RNA is filed under the name uncultured bacterium. RNAcentral describes it as "bacterial SSU rRNA". It matches the Rfam family "Bacterial small subunit ribosomal RNA", at positions 338 to 915 of the family's 1533-position model. The record is from RNAcentral.